This 449-nucleotide ribosomal RNA is filed under the name uncultured bacterium. RNAcentral describes it as "partial 16S ribosomal RNA". It matches the Rfam family "Bacterial small subunit ribosomal RNA", at positions 29 to 523 of the family's 1533-position model. The record is from RNAcentral.
AAUGAACGCUGGCGGCAUGCCUAACACAUGCAAGUCGAACGAAGGCUUCGGCCUUAGUGGCGCACGGGUGCGUAACGCGUGGGAAUCUGCCCUCAGGUUCGGAACAACAGCGAGAAAUUGCUGCUAAUACCGGAUGAUAUCGCGAGAUCAAAGAUUUAUCGCCUGAGGAUGAGCCCGCGUAGGAUUAGCUAGUUGGUGUGGUAAAGGCGCACCAAGGCGACGAUCCUUAGCUGGUCUGAGAGGAUGAUCAGCCACACUGGGACUGAGACACGGCCCAGAUUCCUACGGGAGGCAGUAGUGGGGAAUAUUGGACAAUGGGCGAAAGCCUGAUCCAGCAAUGUCGCGUGAGUGAUGAAGGCCUUAGGGUUGUAAAGCUCUUUUACCCGGGAUGAUAAUGACAGUACCGGGAGAAUAAGCUCCGGCUAACUCCGUGCCAGCAGCCGCGGUAA